Long non-coding RNA from Canis lupus familiaris (dog), 602 nucleotides. RefSeq lists it as uncharacterized. Lineage: Eukaryota; Metazoa; Chordata; Mammalia; Carnivora; Canidae. The record is from RefSeq and is a predicted model, not a curated record. The transcript has 3 exons.
GAGCAGCAUUUGGUAGAAGUAAUGUCAUUUCUAAGACGAGGUCAUAAAAGAUGGGCACAUUCACACCCGCUGGCUUUCUGUCUCCAGAUCACUGGCUUUGGGGGAAGCAAGUUGCCACGUUGUCAGCAGCCCUGAGGGAAACCUUUGUGCUAAGCCAAGCUUAGAGACAACGUAAAUAUUAAAGGGAAACUGCCCUAAACAAUCAAGAUGAAUCAUUUGCUUGGUUGAAGGGUCGUGUGUGACAGAAGCUGGGAAAUAAAAGAUGGGAUUGUUUUCUUGUCAUCCUGUACCCUUGCCACCUGGCUGCCGUGAUUCUGAUGAGUGGAGAUACAUAAUGGCCAUCUCAAUGCAACGUGCUCCUUUAUUUCCUGGGGGUCAGGCACCAGGAGGACCAGGAGGGCAUAAGAUCUGUUGAAAUGUGACCCUCUUUGGAGCAGGGGUAGGAGUGCCCCGGCAUGUAGAGGGUUGAAGGAAAUGACUUCAAGGCAGAGUUCAUAGAGUUCUGAAAUCAAUAGUUAAAAGUAAAAACACUCAUUUUCAAGAACAAAGUAUAAUUGAAAUGUCCCCAGGGGUGAAUGAGGAGAAGCAAUUUCCUUAUCAAG